This 673-nucleotide long non-coding RNA is filed under the name Anser brachyrhynchus (Pink-footed goose). RNAcentral's name for it is "lncRNA (ENSABRG00000002949.1)". Lineage: Eukaryota; Metazoa; Chordata; Aves; Anseriformes; Anatidae. The record is from RNAcentral.
CACAGAUAUGAGAAGCUGAAUAUUUCAAUGAAGCACAGUCCACCUCAGCAAUACUAAUCACUGACCGUUCAUCAGGCUUACAAAAUUUGCAGCUAAUUCUGCACAGCUUGGCCAACAGGAAUUAAAAGGCCAUAGUGACUUAGGGUCAAAUCAACCUCUUUUAAUGCCUGGGUGUGACCCCACAGCACGGGACCAUAAAGACUCCAUCCACAAAUUAAAGAUUUCUCCUGCUGGCAGGCCUGCUGAGUAACCAAGCCCCAAGUCAAAAUCACCUUCUGGUAAACACAGAGACUCUGAACCACAGUUUGCCGGCUUUCUUCUUUGUGACUAAUGACCACCAUGAAGAGCUUCACAGCAGUGUGGCCUGUUACCGGAGCCAGAAAAUACUUGUUUUUGCCUACAAGGGCAGUCUGUGCAUUUUAAGGUAUGUUUAUCAUUAUUUGUCAUGUUUAGCUGUUUGUUUCUUUAAAGACGACUCACAUCUCCAACCUCUGACAAGGUUUAACCAGUGCCGAGGCUGCGGCAACAGAAAUUUCCUAAAUCCAGGCAUUUGCGACACAGUAAUUAAAUGCCCGCAUGCUACUGUCGGCCCCCCUGCCUCCUAAUCCCAGUAAAUUUUGAGCUUUCUAAAAUCAGGCCGUUUCAGAUAUGAAUAAAUCUAUAUGUUAAACCA